GUGCUGGUCUUCUGGACUAUGAGGAUGGUAGAGGACUCCAACAUUCAUAUUCGACAGAAAGUGACACUUCAUGUGAUGAUCAAGAUGGAUCCAAAGGAGAUUAUACACCAUCAGCCAACUCCCCAGCCCUGUCUCGGUCGAGUAUUGGU
This is an RNA transcript of Phyllostomus discolor (pale spear-nosed bat), 149 nucleotides long. RefSeq lists it as uncharacterized. The transcript has 6 exons. Lineage: Eukaryota; Metazoa; Chordata; Mammalia; Chiroptera; Phyllostomidae. The record is from RefSeq and is a predicted model, not a curated record.